This 635-nucleotide ribosomal RNA is filed under the name uncultured Lachnospiraceae bacterium. Its description in RNAcentral is "bacterial SSU rRNA". It matches the Rfam family "Bacterial small subunit ribosomal RNA", at positions 69 to 719 of the family's 1533-position model. Lineage: Bacteria; Bacillati; Bacillota; Clostridia; Lachnospirales; Lachnospiraceae. The record is from RNAcentral.
CGAGAGAGAGCUUGCUUUCUCGAGCGAGUGGCGAACGGGUGAGUAACGCGUGAGGAACCUGCCUCAAAGAGGGGGACAACAGUUGGAAACGACUGCUAAUACCGCAUAAGCCCACAGGUCGGCAUCGACCAGAGGGAAAAGGAGCAAUCCGCUUUGAGAUGGCCUCGCGUCCGAUUAGCUAGUUGGUGAGGUAAUGGCCCACCAAGGCAACGAUCGGUAGCCGGACUGAGAGGUUGAACGGCCACAUUGGGACUGAGACACGGCCCAGACUCCUACGGGAGGCAGCAGUGGGGAAUAUUGCACAAUGGGGGAAACCCUGAUGCAGCGACGCCGCGUGGAGGAAGAAGGUCUUCGGAUUGUAAACUCCUGUUGUUGAGGAAGAUAAUGACGGUACUCAACAAGGAAGUGACGGCUAACUACGUGCCAGCAGCCGCGGUAAAACGUAGGUCACAAGCGUUGUCCGGAAUUACUGGGUGUAAAGGGAGCGCAGGCGGGAAGACAAGUUGGAAGUGAAAUCUAUGGGCUCAACCCAUAAACUGCUUUCAAAACUGUUUUUCUUGAGUAGUGCAGAGGUAGGCGGAAUUCCCGGUGUAGCGGUGGAAUGCGUAGAUAUCGGGAGGAACACCAGUGGCGAA